Molecule: ribosomal RNA, 301 nt
Filed under: uncultured bacterium
Lineage: Bacteria
Description: partial 16S ribosomal RNA
Rfam family: Bacterial small subunit ribosomal RNA
Source: RNAcentral
CAGUCGCCACGGUAAUACAUAGGGUGCGAGCGUUAAUCGGAAUUACUGGGCGCAAAGCGUGCGCAGGCGGUUCGUUAAGACAGAUGUGAAAUCCCCGGGCUUAACCUGGGAACUGCAUUUGUGACUGGCGAGCUAGAGUAUGGCAGAGGGGGGUAGAAUUCCACGUGUAGCAGUGAAAUGCGUAGAGAUGUGGAGGAACACCGAUGGCGAAGGCAGCCCCCUGGGCCAAUACUGACGCUCAUGCACGAAAGCGUGGGGAGCAAACAGGAUUAGAUACCCCGGUAGUCCCUGUCUCUUAUAC